This 873-nucleotide long non-coding RNA is filed under the name Amphibalanus amphitrite. RNAcentral describes it as "uncharacterized LOC122379327". The record is from RNAcentral. Lineage: Eukaryota; Metazoa; Arthropoda; Thecostraca; Balanomorpha; Balanidae.
UGGUGCAGCAAAACCAAGAGUCACAAUUGCAUAAAAUCCAGGACCCGACGGCUUUGCAGCGAUAACCGCUCGUGAAAAUUUAAAUGACAAGUUUAACGAAUUUAGGUAGACUCGAGAGACAAAAAGGAAGAGAAAGAAAAUUUUUGAAAUGGCUUGAAUGGCAAACCUCGAAACGAUAAAUAUAAUAUAGGAAACGAAACAAAUGAAGAAACACUAAGAACCGCGAAGUAAAACGAAGAAAUCAGAAGAAUAACGAAACGAAAUGAAAAGUGAUUAGUAAAUCAUGACGGUGUAUUGACAUGGAAAUCACUUGCGAGGUUAAAAUACAUGUUAAAUUACGAUUAAGUUGAUAUCGUAUCGAAUCACCAAAGCCAUUUGAUGCCAACAGGCACUAACAGUUUCGAGCUGUCUAUAUCAACAAUAGUGCAAUGCAAGAAUAAAUGUUAUCAAGAACUGAAAGUCGAAUAUUCACAGUUUUAGGCUCAGCUGAGUCUACAUUGAAGCUAUCAUUACUCCCGAUAUUAUUUGAGCCUGGUGUUGUUCCGUCAAGAAGAAUUGUUUGAAGAAUUGUCAAGAAGAUUAAUAGCACGCUGCUAUUGCUAAUUCGAAUUCAUACAAAAGUUGUCAAACCUGCUAUCGAGACUCGAGAGACAAAAAGGAAGAGAAAGAAAAUUUUUGAAAUGGCUUGAAUGGCAAACCUCGAAACGAUAAAUAUAAUAUAGGAAACGAAACAAAUGAAGAAACACUAAGAACCGCGAAGUAAAACGAAGAAAUCAGAAGAAUAACGAAACGAAAUGAAAAGUGAUUAGUAAAUCAUGACGGUGUAUUGACAUGGAAAUCACUUGCGAGGUUAAAAUACAUGUUAAAUUACGA